This 162-nucleotide small nuclear RNA is filed under the name Vicugna pacos (alpaca). Its description in RNAcentral is "U1 spliceosomal RNA (ENSVPAG00000016730.1)". It matches the Rfam family "U1 spliceosomal RNA". From Rfam's summary of the family: U1 is a small nuclear RNA (snRNA) component of the spliceosome (involved in pre-mRNA splicing). Its 5' end forms complementary base pairs with the 5' splice junction, thus defining the 5' donor site of an intron. There are significant differences in sequence and secondary structure between metazoan and yeast U1 snRNAs, the latter being much longer (568 nucleotides as compared to 164 nucleotides in human). Lineage: Eukaryota; Metazoa; Chordata; Mammalia; Artiodactyla; Camelidae. The record is from Rfam by way of RNAcentral.
AUACUUACCUGAAGGGGAGAUACCAUGAUCACAAAGGUGGUUUUCCAGGGCGAGGCUUAUCCGUUACACUCCGGAUGUACUGACCCCUGCAAUUUCCCCAAAUGUGGGAAAAUUGACUGGAUAAUUUGUAGUAGUGGGGGACUGCAUUCGCACUUUCCCCUG